RNAcentral lists this non-coding RNA (31 nucleotides) under Mus musculus (house mouse). The record is from RNAcentral. Lineage: Eukaryota; Metazoa; Chordata; Mammalia; Rodentia; Muridae.
UGUGGUUGCAUUUUUUUAUAAAAGUAUAAAU